RNAcentral lists this ribosomal RNA (250 nucleotides) under uncultured bacterium. Its description in RNAcentral is "partial 16S ribosomal RNA". It matches the Rfam family "Bacterial small subunit ribosomal RNA", at positions 524 to 773 of the family's 1533-position model. The record is from RNAcentral.
UACGGAGGAUCCAAGCGUUAUCCGGAUUUAUUGGGUUUAAAGGGUGCGUAGGCGGCCUAUUAAGUCAGGGGUGAAAGACGGUAGCUCAACUAUCGCAGUGCCUUUGAUACUGAUGGGCUUGAAUAUACUAGAGGUAGGCGGAAUGUGACAAGUAGCGGUGAAAUGCAUAGAUAUGUCACAGAACACCGAUUGCGAAGGCAGCUUACUAUGGUAUUAUUGACGCUGAGGCACGAAAGCGUGGGGAUCAAAC